RNAcentral lists this transfer RNA (64 nucleotides) under Processina sexmaculata. RNAcentral's name for it is "tRNA-Pro". Lineage: Eukaryota; Metazoa; Arthropoda; Insecta; Hemiptera; Cicadellidae. The record is from RNAcentral.
CAAUAAAUAGUUUAAUUAAAAUUUAAGUUUUGGGUACUUAAGAUAUGUGAAAAUAUUUUAUUGA